RNAcentral lists this ribosomal RNA (400 nucleotides) under phytoplankton environmental sample. RNAcentral describes it as "partial small subunit ribosomal RNA". It matches the Rfam family "Eukaryotic small subunit ribosomal RNA", at positions 587 to 993 of the family's 1831-position model. The record is from RNAcentral.
AGCUCCAAUAGUAUAUAUUAGUGUUGUUGCAGUUAAAGCGCUCGUAGUUGGAUUUUGGAAUGAUUUGUCUGGUCCGCCGAAAGGUGUGUACUGGGCUGAAUUGUUCUUCCUUCUGAAGAGAUGCCAUGUUCUUAAUUGGGCGUGGUAUGGAUUCAGGACUUUUACUUUGAAAAAAUUAGAGUGUUCAAAGCAGGCUAUCGCUUGAAUACAUUAGCAUGGAAUAAUAAAAUAGGACUUUGGUUCUAUUUUGUUGGUUUCUAGGACCGAAGUAAUGAUUAAUAGGGAUAGUUGGGGGCAUUAGUAUUUAAUUGUCAGAGGUGAAAUUCUUGGAUUUAUGAAAGACUAACUUCUGCGAAAGCAUUUGCCAAGGAUGUUUUCAUUAAUCAAGAACGAAAGUAGG